RNAcentral lists this ribosomal RNA (434 nucleotides) under uncultured bacterium. Its description in RNAcentral is "partial 16S ribosomal RNA". It matches the Rfam family "Bacterial small subunit ribosomal RNA", at positions 29 to 507 of the family's 1533-position model. The record is from RNAcentral.
AGCGAACGCUGGCGGCAGGCCUAACACAUGCAAGUCGAACGAACCUUUCGGGGUUAGUGGCGGACGGGUGAGUAACACGUGGGAACAUGCCUUUAGGUUCGGAAUAACUCAGGGAAACUUGUGCUAAUACCGAAUGUGCCCUUCGGGGGAAAGAUUAAUCGCCUUUAGAGCGGCCCGCGUCUGAUUAGCUAGUUGGUUGAGGUAAUGGCUCACCAAGGCGACGAUCAGUAGCUGGUCUGAGAGGAUGAUCAGCCACAUUGGGACUGAGACACGGCCCAAACUCCUACGGGAGGCAGCAGUGGGGAAUCAUGCGCAAUGGGCGAAAGCCUGACGCAGCCAUGCCGCGUGAAUGAUGAAGGUCUUAGGAUUGUAAAAUUCUUUCACCGGGGACGAUAAUGACGGUACCCGGAGAAGAAGCCCCGGCUAACUUCGUG